CAAGCAUAUACCCAGACCAGGCUUGCUUUUACACACUAAUGACAUGGAUUCAGGAUAUGUAAUUAUUGUGGUUAAUCAUGUGUGUUGCUUUUUGCCUAUUUUACUUAAAAUCCCCAUUAGAAGUGUCUAGCCUACCCAUACUCUAACUUUCUAGGAUUGUAUACGUACCUAGAAAUAUGUAUUAAAAUAAUGUCAAGACAUAGAGUGAAAUGAGAUAUUGGGGACUGUGGGCUAGCACAGCAGACUUGUCCUAUGUAAUUAGAACCCAGUUGGUCUCUAAACAGAACCAUUUUGAAUAUAUGUGAAUACAGAUUUGUGUACCUUAAUGCACUUAAAUGGAGUCUAGUUUAGAUUUUAAAAACAUACUUAUUUUGAUAACUUAUUUUUAGAUUUGUAAAUUACAUUAUUUAAUUAUUUUGUAAACAUGGGUGUUUUACCUGCAUGUAUUACACCACAUGCAUGACUGAUACCUUUAGAGGUUAGAAGAAUACAGAAGAUCCCUUGAAAUUGGAGUUACAAAUCAUUGUGAGCUGUGUGGGGGUUCUGGGAAUUGAAACUGGGUCCCCUGGAAGAGCAAAAAAAAAAAUGCUCUUAACUGUAGAGCCAACUCGACUUUAACACUUGGAGCCUUGGUUUCUACAUUCACAAUACCCAGGGUUGUUUUUACAUGGAUGCUCUAAGACUGGUCCUUAAGCAAUAUUUUACUAACCUUAAUUAACAGUGUGUGUUCUAGACAAGAGUCAGAUAUAGCUGAAGUCUGAUCAACAACCAACAAUAGCACUUCAUACUUUUCAUAGGAGUCUCUUUUCAGAGUCGCCUGUAUCCCCUAUACAAUACUGUUUACAAAGGAUGGGUUCAGUUCUCUAAAUUUAUCAUCAGUUAUAAAGUAUACUUUUCUGGUUGGCAGAGUUCCCAAGUUCAGACUCACCCAGUCAUAAGCAGAUCCACAGAGGAAGAAACGGUGUUAAGCUAUAGGUAAGAAAUGUACAAGCAUGACAUAAGAGUUAGUGUGACCUGGAGAAACCUGGAAGUCUGGGUUGAGAAGUUUCCCACACUAAUUCUUCCGUUAAUGGUGGCUUCAUGUUUCCAAGAGAAGGAAAGGUGUUAUCUAGGGACCUCAUGACUUCUGACCCUCCACUCUGCCUUCUCCACUGAUACGUUUGUGGCUGACUUAGCAAAUCCCUUUAUACUCUCUACUUUCUGCAAUAAAAUGUCUUCUCAGGAGGAAACUGGAAGUUUUCAUAAAAGCAAAAACCCAAGAAAUGAGCCAAAAUUUAGCCCUUAGCCAGGAGGUCAAGAUAGGUAUGUGAUUUUAUACUAAUAUACUCAUAUGGACUAGAUUUCCAAAGUAGAGAAGGUGGCAGGUCAUGUUUGAAAAUAGUCCAUAUUAGAAUACACACAUCUGUACAUAUGCACAUGCACACAUAAAGUUCUAGUUUAGAGUGACUCUCUAUGUUUUUAUAACUAUACUUUAAUUUUUUAGCAUUUUGGACAUGGGUUAAAAUAUGAACACACACACACACACACACACACACACACACAUAUAUAUAUAUACAUACAUACACACAGACAUAUAUAUGUAUAUAUUAACAUGAUCAAAAAUUAUUGCAAUGACCAGAUGUAUCAUAGUGUCAAACAUUGUGGACACUGGCUGUCUAUCAACCAGGCAGCUGCCAAUAUUCCGUGUAGUACUCACUUGUUACACUGUUCUGCUUCGUAGUUUCUGAUGUGGGGACUCUGGUUCCAAACUCAGUCACCAUCAAGUGUAUUCUCUCUAAGCGAGGACUGCUUUGCAAAUGCUUCUGAGCUAGAGUCUGAGGUUUGGAGUCUUUUUGGAAUAAAAAAAUAUAACAUCACACCUCAAGCAAAGCUCUAACAAGGGUUUAGUUACAUUUUGUCCAACAUGUCCAGGAAGUUAAAAUAUAUCACAUAUAUAAAAAUUCCAAAAAAGAGAAUAGUUGUAUUUCCAUUAGAACAAACUCUUUCUCAUUAUUCUUCUAUUUCAUUCUAAUAGCCACUGAAUGCAUUCCUUCUGAUUCCUCUUCUUUCUUUGAUUCUUAGCUAUGAUUACCUACUCAUUCUCUCAACCAAAUUUAGUUUUAAUUUUGUUGAGCUCUGAAACAAAUUUCUCCCGAGACUUUCACUAUGUGCAGAUUGGUGCUAUGGCUGUACAGACCUUUAGGAAAUAUUCUCUACUAUUUCCUUCUAUCCCUCAUCAGACAAUUACUCUUUCUCAUACAUCUAACUAUCAUAACCUACAGUUUUGGCACUUAUGUAGCUACGACAGUUGAACACAUUUGAAGGGAAACACACGUAUUCAGUGCUUUAUCACCGAUUCAUUCUUCUGUUACUCCAUCAAUCUGUAGUUUAUUUUUAAAAAAGAUUUAUUUAUUUAUUUAUUUAUUUAUUUAAUUUGUAUGAGUGCACUGUUGCUGUCCUCAGACACACCAGAAGAGGGCAUCAGAUCCCAUUACAGAUGGUUGUGAGCCACCAUGUGGUUGCUGGGGAUUGAACUCAGGACCUCUGG
This 2527-nucleotide long non-coding RNA is filed under the name Mus musculus (house mouse). Its description in RNAcentral is "long non-coding RNA chr18:54032060-54034587". Lineage: Eukaryota; Metazoa; Chordata; Mammalia; Rodentia; Muridae. The record is from RNAcentral.